GCGGAGGAAAAGAAACCAACAGGGAUUGCCUCAGUAACGGCGAGUGAAGCGGCAAAAGCUCAAAUUUUAAAGCUGACAUCUUCGGUGUCCGCGUUGUAAUUUUGUGAGGCAUCUCCGGGUAGGGCGCCGGCCUAAGUUCCUUGGAACAGGACGUCACAGAGGGUGAGAAUCCCGUGCUUGGCUGGCUGUCCCCGUCCAUGUGAGGUGUCUUCGACGAGUCGAGUUGUUUGGGAAUGCAGCUCAAAAUGGGUGGUAAAUUUCAUCUAAAGCUAAAUAUUGGUGGGAGACCGAUAGCGCACAAGUAGAGUGAUCGAAAGAUGAAAAGCACUUUGAAAAUAGAGUUAAAAAGUACGUGAAAUUGUUGAAAGGGAAGCGCUUGAGACCAGACUUCGGUAAGGGGUGAUCAGCCGUCCUUCUGGGCGGUGCACUUGCCCCCCUCCGGGCCAGCAUCGGUUGAGGCGGCGGGAUAAAGGUCCCGGGAAUGUGGCUCCUUCACGGGAGUGUUAUAGCCCGGGUGAAUGCCGCCAGCUUCGACCGAGGACCGCACCCGCAAGGGUUAGGAUGCUUGGCAUAAUGGUCUUCAGCGACCCGUCU
This 594-nucleotide ribosomal RNA is filed under the name Morchella septentrionalis. RNAcentral describes it as "eukaryotic LSU rRNA". It matches the Rfam family "Eukaryotic large subunit ribosomal RNA", at positions 50 to 654 of the family's 3401-position model. Lineage: Eukaryota; Fungi; Ascomycota; Pezizomycetes; Pezizales; Morchellaceae. The record is from RNAcentral.